GACGGAUUUUGGGUUUGACGCACGGAUUUCGAUAAAAUUGGAAAAUAUAUGUUUUAUAUGUAUUUGUGCGUAGUUUCUUUCAUUAGAAUGAUGGACCGAGUUCGUCGCGAAUCCGAGACGGAUCAAGGAGAAACGAAAUCGUAGCUUUGUUGUCUCCGUCGUGCUGAUCGCACUGGUGCAAUCCGUUCGUAAAUCGAACGGAUGGAUCUGCGGAGAUCGCCCGUUGAUCGAGGAAAGGUCGGUGUUG
Molecule: long non-coding RNA, 247 nt
Filed under: Ananas comosus (pineapple)
Lineage: Eukaryota; Viridiplantae; Streptophyta; Magnoliopsida; Poales; Bromeliaceae
Description: long non-coding RNA (ACOM_LNC035260)
Source: RNAcentral